UCCGAGUUGACCCCGGCAGUCUCCUGCGAGUCCCCGACAUUACUCGCUGGCAACAGACAAUGAGGGUUGCGCUCGUUGCGGGACUUAACCCAACAUUUCACAACACGAGCUGACGACAGCCAUGCACCACCUGUGUACCACCUUCGAAAGCGGCCCCUUUUCGGGGGAUUGCAGGUACAUGUCAAGCCCUGGUAAGGUUCUUCGCGUUGCAUCGAAUUAAGCCAUAUGCCCCACCGCUUGUGCGGGCCCCCGCCAAUUCCUUUGAGUUUCAACCUUGCGGCCGUAGUCCCCAGGCGGUUCACUUAAUGCGUUAGCUGCGGCACCGAAGGAAACCCCCCGACACCUAGUGAACAUAGUUUAGGGCCAAGACUAC
This 373-nucleotide unclassified non-coding RNA is filed under the name uncultured bacterium. RNAcentral describes it as "contains 16S-23S intergenic spacer region". The record is from RNAcentral.